Molecule: long non-coding RNA, 356 nt
Filed under: Salvator merianae (Argentine black and white tegu)
Lineage: Eukaryota; Metazoa; Chordata; Lepidosauria; Squamata; Teiidae
Description: lncRNA (ENSSMRG00000001046.1)
Source: RNAcentral
UGCACUGUGACACGUGACCUCGAUCUUUCUCAGCUAUAUUUCAGAGUAGAAAUUGCACCGCAGCUGAAAAUCUUCAGGGCAUCCUCUGACACGCUGCACCUUCAAUUUCCAGCAAAAGGUGUGCUUAAAAUAUCAGGAACAAGUGAAUGAAGCCAGCAUUGCUAAUCAUUACAAAAGGGAAAAUUGGAUCUAAUAUAUCUAAAAGGAGAUUGAAGAUGUGCUUCUACUGUUUGAUGAAGUGUCAGAGCCAUGGCGCUGUAACUCCUUCAGUGAGGAUCUUCUUAAGCCUUGUAACAACUUCACAACNGUGGUGAGAAAGUUGCAGGUGAGCCUAGGAUUCCAAAAUUAAACUGUGC